Molecule: non-coding RNA, 89 nt
Organism: Acanthosepion pharaonis
Lineage: Eukaryota; Metazoa; Mollusca; Cephalopoda; Sepiida; Sepiidae
Source: the annotation of a GenBank genome assembly
GCCGCUUCCCAUACGAUCACAGAAGUUAAGCAAUCUCGGGCCUGGUAUUAACUAGAUGGGUGGCCGCUUGAGAAUACCAGGUGCUGUAA